This 305-nucleotide ribosomal RNA is filed under the name uncultured bacterium. RNAcentral's name for it is "bacterial SSU rRNA". It matches the Rfam family "Bacterial small subunit ribosomal RNA", at positions 334 to 636 of the family's 1533-position model. The record is from RNAcentral.
CCUGCCUACGGGGGGCAGCAGUGAGGAAUAUUGGUCAAUGGGCGAGAGCCUGAACCAGCCAAGUCGCGUGAAGGAUGACGGCCCUACGGGUUGUAAACUUCUUUUGUCAGGGAGCAAUUGGGUCCACGCGUGGGCUUAGCGAGAGUACCUGAAGAAAAAGCAUCGGCUAACUUCGUGCCAGCAGCCGCGGUAAUACGGAGGAUGCGAGCGUUAUCCGGAUUUAUUGGGUUUAAAGGGUGCGCAGGCGGGAGAUCAAGUCAGCGGUAAAAUGUCGGGGCUCAACCCCGGCCGGCCGUUGAAACUGG